Molecule: ribosomal RNA, 377 nt
Filed under: uncultured eukaryote
Lineage: Eukaryota
Description: partial 18S ribosomal RNA
Rfam family: Eukaryotic small subunit ribosomal RNA
Source: RNAcentral
CAAUAGCGUAUAUUUAAGUUGCUGCAGUUAAAAAGCUCGUAGUUGGAUUUCGGGUGGGAAUGGCCGGUCCGCCGUUUCGGUGUGCACUUGCUACGCCCACCUUGCUGCCGGGGACGUGCUCUUGAGUUCACGCUCGGGACACGGAGUCGGCGAGGUUACUUUGAGUAAAUUAGAGUGUUCAAAGCAGGCCUACGCUCUGAAUACAUUAGCAUGGAAUAACACGAUAGGACUCUGGCCUAUCUUGUUGGUCUGUAGGACCGGAGUAAUGAUUAAGAGGGACAGUCGGGGGCAUUCGUAUUUCAUUGUCAGAGGUGAAAUUCUUGGAUUUAUGAAAGACGAACUACUGCGAAAGCAUUCGCCAAGGAUGUUUUCAUUAA